AUACCUAUCAAAUUAAGAUUAUUGGUUCUCACACAGUUAAUAUGCAUGCCACAGACGCUGCAGAUAAUAUACAAAUGUCUGACUUUGCAGAUAAUAUACAAUUGUCAAAUGCAGUGGGGUGCCAUAGCCCUCCCAAAAUUUUUGAAUUUAUUAUUUAUUUCCCAUUGUGAUAUAAUUAUAUUUACAAGUAGUUCUCGAGGAAAAUACCACUUGACCCCUCAAAAUUUUCAAAUGUUUGUAUUCUGGUUGGUGUAUGCAUAUUUCUAGACAAUACCCCAACAAAUUAAGUCAUAAUCCUGCUAAAAUCUGUGUCAAGUGAUGAAUAUAUAUAUAGCGUAAGUGUAUUUUUUUGGGUGUGUGUGUGUGUAUGUAAAAUGUAAUCAUGUCUCACUAUCCUUGAUUCCUUUAUUAUAAUGUCAUUUAGUUUUUGAUUGUUUUGAUAACAUGUUUAAGAUUUAUAAUUGAUAUAAUCACAAUCUUGGUCCAAUAUACUAUCAGCAAAUUGUUUAAAAAGGUGUUUCAUAUAUGAUGUAGGACAAAUUGCUGAAUUUGAUCAUAUUAAUAGAAUUUGUGUACAUGUGGUUGUGGUGGGUUUGCUAGUGCACAUGCGGGUUAUUCAAAUAUUAUUGGAGGAUGACAGCAAUAAGAACCAACACUUAGCUCCAAAUAUUUGGGUUUGGUUAUGGAAACUCGACAUAUUAAUCAAGUUAGAAACGUAUUCUUUCAUUCUAUUAUAUCCGAAAUCAUAGUUUUUGUUACAUCUUUAAUUGACAAGUGCUAUUUUGCUAAUUUUAUUAGUAAAAGUUUAGGACUUCCUCUACCUUUUUUGUUCCAUUGACUAGAAUCAAACUCUAUUUUUUAUUGGUGCAUUAAUUGCUCUACUUGGCAUAUGACCAAACCAUUUCACAUGACUCCCUCCCAUUGCUCUACUUGGCAUUAAUUGCUCUACAAAUUUUUAUCAGGACCGUAUCUAUUUUUGAACUUUGCUCUGUACGUAGGGUCCAAGGAAACUAAUGAAAAGGCUACGAGGUUCGAAAGUUGGAUAUCUUGGACUGUUGGACACCAGAAAAUCACUAUCGAUGGACUGAAUCUAAGUGUUAAACAUUUCUAGGUUUAGACCAUCGGUAAUGAUUUUCUGGAGUCCAACCGUCCAAGAUAUCCAACUUUUGAACCUCGUCAGCCUUUUCAUUAGUUUCCUUGGACCCUACCUCUGAGGUCCACGAAAAUGGAGGUGUAUCAUAAGAAGUCGGGUAGGUGUAUUCAAUCGAUAAGUGGACCAAAUGGGGACUGUAUGCCCGUCAGCUACUCCAGCUCAGUACAUGGUCUUCUUCUUCGGGCUCUAUCUGGUUGCUUUGGGGACUGGUGGGAUCAAACCUUGUGUUGAUCAGUACUGCCUUGAUGAUUUAGGAGCUGGCAGAACCAUCGAUAAGAGAUGCAUUUUUUUCUUGCAUUCAACAAGGUGCAGAUCAUGUGAUUGUAAGCCCAUUUUUUCUCUUCCUUGGACGACACUGGCAUCAGGAUAUUCUUUCGUUAGCUGCAAAAGAACACCCUUAUGUGUCAUAUAUCGUUACUGCACCUCUUGGUCUGCAUGAUCUACUUGUGGCAAGGAGCGAGAUUGUAUGACAAGGUUUAUAUUAUGAGAUUUGUAUUACUGGAAAUGUUUGCUCUGUAGAAAUUUGUAUUACAAGAUUUAUAUUAUGAGAUUGUAUGCUGGCCAUUUACAAAGUUGGACAGUAAUG
Quercus robur (English oak) is the source of this 1739-nucleotide long non-coding RNA. RefSeq lists it as uncharacterized. The record is from RefSeq and is a predicted model, not a curated record. The transcript has 3 exons. Lineage: Eukaryota; Viridiplantae; Streptophyta; Magnoliopsida; Fagales; Fagaceae.